UUCUCAGUCGAGCGGUAGCACAGAGAGCUUGCUCUCGGGUGACGAGCGGCGGACGGGUGAGUAAUGUCUGGGAAACUGCCUGAUGGAGGGGGAUAACUACUGGAAACGGUAGCUAAUACCGCAUAACGUCGCAAGACCAAAGUGGGGGACCUUCGGGCCUCAUGCCAUCAGAUGUGCCCAGAUGGGAUUAGCUAGUAGGUGGGGUAACGGCUCACCUAGGCGACGAUCCCUAGCUGGUCUGAGAGGAUGACCAGCCACACUGGAACUGAGACACGGUCCAGACUCCUACGGGAGGCAGCAGUGGGGAAUAUUGCACAAUGGGCGCAAGCCUGAUGCAGCCAUGCCGCGUGUGUGAAGAAGGCCUUCGGGUUGUAAAGCACUUUCAGCGGGGAGGAAGGCGGUGAGGUUAAUAACCUCGUCGAUUGACGUUACCCGCAGAAGAAGCACCGGCUAACUCCGUGCCAGCAGCCGCGGUAAUACGGAGGGUGCAAGCGUUAAUCGGAAUUACUGGGCGUAAAGCGCACGCAGGCGGUCUGUCAAGUCGGAUGUGAAAUCCCCGGGCUCAACCUGGGAACUGCAUUCGAAACUGGCAGGCUAGAGUCUUGUAGAGGGGGGUAGAAUUCCAGGUGUAGCGGUGAAAUGCGUAGAGAUCUGUAGGAAUACCGGUGGCGAAGGCGGCCCCCUGGACAAAGACUGACGCUCAGGUGCGAAAGCGUGGGGAGCAAACAGGAUUAGAUACCCUGGUAGUCCACGCCGUAAACGAUGUCGAUUUGGAGGUGUGCCCUUGAGGCGUGGCUUCCGGAGCUAACGCGUUAAAUCGACCGCCUGGGGAGUACGGCCGCAAGGUUAAACUCAAAUG
This 859-nucleotide ribosomal RNA is filed under the name Klebsiella pneumoniae. Its description in RNAcentral is "bacterial SSU rRNA". It matches the Rfam family "Bacterial small subunit ribosomal RNA", at positions 55 to 907 of the family's 1533-position model. The record is from RNAcentral. Lineage: Bacteria; Pseudomonadati; Pseudomonadota; Gammaproteobacteria; Enterobacterales; Enterobacteriaceae.